UACACAGAUCCUUUUCAUUCUACAUACAUCCUACGCAGAUCCUAGAUUUUUUCUCACUCUAAAACCUCUGGAACUGUCCAUCUUCGUCUUCACCCUCAAUUCAUGUCUCUGGAAGUAUCCAUCUUCGUCUUCACCCUUGAGGUUUUUGCUGUCUACAGUGGAUGGAAUUUCAACCCAGAAUAAAGAAUGAGGCCAACAGGGAGAAGGGAUUUCUUGGAGGGUGGUUGCCCUCUCUGCUUGGCCUAUGAUUUCUCCAUCUACCAAAUCAACAA
Long non-coding RNA from Lycium barbarum (goji berry), 272 nucleotides. RefSeq lists it as uncharacterized. The transcript has 2 exons. The record is from RefSeq and is a predicted model, not a curated record. Lineage: Eukaryota; Viridiplantae; Streptophyta; Magnoliopsida; Solanales; Solanaceae.